UAAUUACUCUCGGUUGCGUAGAAUCACUAGACACCUUCCGUUUGUCGUAGCGGAACUCCCCCAGCCUUUUCUUGUGCACUCCUGAGAUGCAGCGACAAUUGUGUCAGCUCUCCACAAAUGCAAUGAACUGCCAUUUGCAGAUUUGUGCGUCGGCCGGUGCCGUCACUCUUGUUCUCCAGACGGUACGUUUCAUUGUCCAACAUCCGCUGCAAGCAUGGAUCGUUUCUGUACCACAGAUCCUGGAGAUACUGUUCUUUGGUUGCCUACUGUGUUUGUCUGCAGCUGGUAAGUGGAACACGUGCGCGUUACGUCCGUCCCAGCUGCUUGUUGAUGGCUAUGUGCACGCGUGGGACUGAAUUGUGCGUCAAGCCUGCAACUGCAAGGGAAGAGACGGAGACCACAAACUCCAUAAAGCGGUUGGGCCUGUCUGGCGUCUGCUUACAGCUGGAUAGAGCUGACGGCAACUUGCUGCAAGUGACCAAUGUAGAGACACCGUAAAACGUUUUCGCUGGCAGGAGGCCAGGGCUAUUUUCGAAAAGCCCAUGAAUUCGAGGUACUUCAUUAGGGGAUUUCGUUCUCAUUUUCAGGUACAGAAACACAAGAGUUGAGUGGCCAAUCACUUUUUGAGACGUAAUGUUUCUUGCACAUCCAUCACGGUAUCUCUUUAGGUCGUCCGUUCUCUGCAUGGAGGCCUGGUGCGACUCGUCUUCUCGUCUUCUAUGUAGCUGUUCGUGGAAGUCCCAGGUAGGAAUCCGACACAGUCUACUCUUUCGGGUGUGCGGCCGCAAUAUAGAUUGCGUAUAUGUGAUAUGCCUAGCAAUAUCUUGUUUUGGAAUCAAUGCACUUUUCUCGGUGGUGGCACGUCAGUUGAUUGAAAGGGCAGAUGCCAUGUUUUGAAUGAAUCUGUCAUUCGAUACUACAUACCUUGCUGACUGCACGUUCCUCGUGCACUUACGCUUUCUGUAACGAUGCAGCUGGGUUUCUAACAGGAAUUGUUUUGAUUUUGCCUUGAGCUCUAUCAUCGCAGACAUGUUGGCGACACCAUUCUUGGCAGCACAUGACCUAGAUUGCCCGCAAUGGUGCAACAACGCCCACAAGCACAUCCUGAGAGAGGUUGGUCUUCAUGCAAAUGACCAUGAAGACAACUCUCUUUUCUCCGAUGUCAACUGGCUCAGAUUUUUAUGAAAGCGAAAGUAAGACAAGACGAGCGCGCCCUUUUUGUGUUUCGCCGCACACAUCACACUACGGAAAGGCUACACGUGGUGGAGCCUACCCGAUGACGUGCUUCCGGCUCGUGCCAGAGAGACACCGUGUCCCCCCGGGAAGGUACGUCUACCUUGUCUUGAGC
This 1348-nucleotide long non-coding RNA is filed under the name Toxoplasma gondii VEG. Lineage: Eukaryota; Apicomplexa; Conoidasida; Eucoccidiorida; Sarcocystidae. The record is from RNAcentral.